RNAcentral lists this transfer RNA (85 nucleotides) under Hanseniaspora osmophila. It matches the Rfam family "tRNA". Rfam says of the family: Transfer RNA (tRNA) molecules are approximately 80 nucleotides in length. The record is from Rfam by way of RNAcentral. Lineage: Eukaryota; Fungi; Ascomycota; Saccharomycetes; Saccharomycodales; Saccharomycodaceae.
GGAUAAUUGACUGAGUGGUUUAAAGUGUGAUAUUUGAGCUAUCAUUAGUUUAAAAGCUACAUAGGUUCGAAUCCUAUAUUAUCCU